Molecule: microRNA, 22 nt
Filed under: Macaca mulatta (Rhesus monkey)
Lineage: Eukaryota; Metazoa; Chordata; Mammalia; Primates; Cercopithecidae
Description: mml-miR-1239
Source: miRBase by way of RNAcentral
UUCCCCAUUCUGCCUGGCCUAG